This is a long non-coding RNA of Mesocricetus auratus (golden hamster), 662 nucleotides long. RefSeq lists it as uncharacterized. The transcript has 2 exons. The record is from RefSeq and is a predicted model, not a curated record. NCBI's taxonomy places the organism in Eukaryota, Metazoa, Chordata, Mammalia, Rodentia, Cricetidae.
CAGGGAACAUCCUGGGAGGAUCCUUGGAGCUGGAACUUGUGGCGGUCAUCUGCCUCUUGUGUAAGUGCGUUUCCCCGAAUAAACUUCACUUGAGUCUAGGGAAUCAUGAUUCCCACGCAAUAGACAAUGUCUUACUGCCUUGUUCUUUCGCUCCCUGACUUGACACUUAAUCUGCAGACUCCUCUCUGUUGGUGGCCCUCAUGUUUUCUGUCUCCAUAGCACAUGAUUAUUUCCAGUUGGUAGGACUUUUCUGGAUUUUGACCCCAAUUUUAGUAUACUUUCACUAAUUUUUCUUUGUUUCUUCUGCGUUUAAAAGAUUUAAAGUGCUUCCUCCGAGUAUCCCCCACCCCACAUGAACCAAUAUCCGAUUUCUUUCCUGUCAAUUGGCAAGAUGGCUGGAAACUGGGCAUAUAACUGUGCAUCUCUGAUUUAAAAACAGGUUUGCUCCUUUAGUGGCUUGACGUUUUUUCCUUUCCUUUUUAGUGGUCUGCUUAGUGAAGCUGCUUGUAUGAGGCCUGCUGUACACAGAAGGCCCAUCUCCAGGCAAGAAUCAGGAAGUCAAUGAAGAAUUGAGGAGAGAUGCCAACUGCCCAGGUUGAUCUUGGAAUCAUUUCUGAGUGGAUUGAGAGUUCCUAAUACAGAAAUAAAGAAAUACCAAGGCA